GACGAACACUGGCGGCGCGCCUAACACAUGCAAGUCGAACGAGCGAGAGAGAGCUUGCUUUCUUGAGCGAGUGGCGAACGGGUGAGUAACGCGUGAGGAACCUGCCUCAAAGAGGGGGACAACAGUUGGAAACGACUGCUAAUACCGCAUAAGCCCACGGUGCCGCAUGGCACAGAGGGAAAAGGAGCAAUCCGCUUUGAGAUGGCCUCGCGUCCGAUUAGCUAGUUGGUGAGGUAACGGCCCACCAAGGCGACGAACGGUAGCCGGGCUGAGAGGUGGAACGGCCACAUUGGGACUGAGACACGGCCCAGACUCCUACGGAAGGGAGCAGUGUGGAAUAUUGCACGAUGAGGGAAACCGUGAUGCAGCGACGCCGCGUAUAGCAGGAAUGGCUUCGGAUUGUAAUCUCGUGUUUUAGGAAAAGAGAAUGACGGUACCGAGCAAAGAAGUGACGGCUAACUACGUG
Molecule: ribosomal RNA, 466 nt
Filed under: uncultured bacterium
Lineage: Bacteria
Description: partial 16S ribosomal RNA
Rfam family: Bacterial small subunit ribosomal RNA
Source: RNAcentral